Molecule: ribosomal RNA, 230 nt
Filed under: uncultured bacterium
Lineage: Bacteria
Description: partial 16S ribosomal RNA
Rfam family: Bacterial small subunit ribosomal RNA
Source: RNAcentral
UACGAAGGGGGCGAGCGUUGUUCGGAAUUACUGGGCGUAAAGGGCGCGUAGGCGGCCCUCUUUGUCGCGUGUGAAAGCCCCGGGCUCAACCUGGGAACGGCGCGCGAAACGGGGGGGCUGGAGUUCGGGAGAGGAGCGUGGAAUUCCCAGUGUAGAGGUGAAAUUCGUAGAUAUUGGGAAGAACACCGGGUGGCGAAGGCGGCGCUCUGGACCGAGACUGACGCUGAGGC